AGGGAGCCUGAGAAACGGCUACCACAUCCAUGGAAG
This 36-nucleotide ribosomal RNA is filed under the name Pelobates cultripes (western spadefoot toad). Its description in RNAcentral is "SSU_rRNA_eukarya". The record is from RNAcentral. Lineage: Eukaryota; Metazoa; Chordata; Amphibia; Anura; Pelobatidae.